GACGAACGCUGGCGGCGUGCUUAACACAUGCAAGUCGAACGGGUCUGCCCUGUUUUUUGCGGGGUGGGUCAGUGGCGAACGGGUGAGUAACACGUGAGUAACCUGCCCCUCACUUCUGGAUAACCGCUUGAAAGGGUGGCUAAUACGGGGUGUUCUGGCUGUGCCGCAUGGUGUGGCUGGGAAAGAUUCACUUUUGUGGUGUUUUGGUGGGGGAUGGGCUCGCGGUCUAUCAGCUUGUUGGUGGGGUGAUGGCCUGCCAAGGCUUUGACGGGUAGCCGGCCUGAGAGGGUGGGCGGUCACACUGGGACUGAGAUACGGCCCAGACUCCUGCGGGAGGCAGCAGUGGGGGGUAUUGCACAAUGGGCGGAAGCCUGAUGCAGCGACGUCGCGUGAGGGAUGGAGGCCUUCGGGUUGUGAACCUCUUUCGCCGGUGAAGAAGGUCCUGCUCUUUGUGGUGGGGUUGACGGUAGCCGGGUUAUGAAGCGCCGGCUAACUACGUG
Molecule: ribosomal RNA, 500 nt
Filed under: uncultured bacterium
Lineage: Bacteria
Description: partial 16S ribosomal RNA
Rfam family: Bacterial small subunit ribosomal RNA
Source: RNAcentral